This 233-nucleotide ribosomal RNA is filed under the name uncultured bacterium. RNAcentral describes it as "partial 16S ribosomal RNA". It matches the Rfam family "Bacterial small subunit ribosomal RNA", at positions 118 to 351 of the family's 1533-position model. The record is from RNAcentral.
UGAGUAACCUGCCCUUGACUCUGGGAUAAGCCUGGGAAACUGGGUCUAAUACCGGAUAUGACUCCUCAUCGCAUGGUGGGGGGUGGAAAGCUUUUUGUGGUUUUGGAUGGACUCGCGGCCUAUCAGCUUGUUGGUGGGGUGAUGGCCUACCAAGGCGACGACGGGUAGCCGGCCUGAGAGGGCGACCGGCCACACUGGGACUGAGAUACGGCCCAGACUCCUACGGGAGGCAG